RNAcentral lists this ribosomal RNA (427 nucleotides) under uncultured bacterium. RNAcentral's name for it is "partial 16S ribosomal RNA". It matches the Rfam family "Bacterial small subunit ribosomal RNA", at positions 354 to 796 of the family's 1533-position model. The record is from RNAcentral.
GUAGGGAAUAUUGCGCAAUGGGGGAAACCCUGACGCAGCGACGCCGCGUGAGUAUGAAGGCCUUCGGGUCGUAAAGCUCUGUUGCAGGGGAAUAAAAAAAUGAAGGUACCCUGUGAGGAAGGAUCGGCUAACUUCGUGCCAGCAGCCGCGGUAAGACGAGGGAUCCUAGCGUUGCUCGGAAUCAUUGGGCGUAAAGAGGGCGUAGGUGGCUUGGUAAGUCAGGUGUGAAAGCCCAGGGCUCAACCCUGGAAGUGCAUUUGAUACUGCUGAGCUUGAGUGUCGGAGAGGUUACCGGAAUACCUGGUGUAGUGGUGAAAUACGUAGAUAUCAGGUGGAACACCGGAGGCGAAGGCGGGUAACUGGACGAACACUGACACUGAGGCCCGAAAGCGUGGGGAUCAAACAGGAUUAGAAACCCUAGUAGUCC